UACAGAGGGUGCGAGCGUUGUCCGGAAUCACUGGGCGUAAAGGGCGCGUAGGUGGCGAGCCAAGUCCAUGGUGAAAGCUCGAUGCUCAACAUCGAGUCGGCCACGGAUACUGGUUCGCUUGAGCACUGUAGAGGCUAAUGGAAUUCCGGGUGUAGCGGUGGAAUGCGUAGAGAUUGGGAAGAACACCGGUGGCGAAGGCGGCCAACUGGACCACAACUGACGCUGAGGCGCGAAAGCGUGGGGAGCAAACAGG
This 253-nucleotide ribosomal RNA is filed under the name uncultured bacterium. Its description in RNAcentral is "partial 16S ribosomal RNA". It matches the Rfam family "Bacterial small subunit ribosomal RNA", at positions 524 to 776 of the family's 1533-position model. The record is from RNAcentral.